AUACGUAGGUGCCAAGCGUUAUCCGGAUUUACUGGGCGUAAAGGGCGUGUAGGCGGUCUUGCAAGUCAGAAGUGAAAUUCCUGAGCUCAACUCGGGCGCUGCUUCUGAAACUGCAGGACUUGAGUGCUGGAGGGGAUAGCGGAAUUCCUAGUGGAGCGGUAAAAUGCGCAGAUAUUAGGAAGAACACCGGUGGCGAAGGCGGCUAUCUGGAGAGUAACUGACGCUGAGGCGCGAAAGCGUGGGGAGCAAACAGGAUUAGAUACCCGGGUAGUCCACGCCGUAAACGAUGAAUACUAGGUGUAGGGGGUAUCGACUCCCUCUGUGCCGCAGUUAACACAAUAAGUAUUCCGCCUGGGGAGUACGGCCGCAAGGUUGAAACUCAAAGGAAUUGACGGGG
This 397-nucleotide ribosomal RNA is filed under the name uncultured bacterium. RNAcentral's name for it is "partial 16S ribosomal RNA". It matches the Rfam family "Bacterial small subunit ribosomal RNA", at positions 523 to 918 of the family's 1533-position model. The record is from RNAcentral.